UUGUCUCGUGAAGGGCGAUGGAGGGGGUAGCAGGGCCAAGGUGGAGCUGCGCAAGGGAGUAGGCGAGAUCGCCGAUAUGCUGUUAGGAUCCAGCUACUAGUUUCACUCAAUCACCAUGGUUUGGCUACAAAUCUAAAAUUACAGGAGGAGGAAGCAGAGGAAGGAAGGAGACGCUACAGAGAGGGAGUUCGCCAGCCAGGCCGAAGCCUUCCGUCCAAGCCGAGUCACUCGUUGCCAUCUCCACCAUAUUUGUAGUCGCUGCUUUCCAUGGCUUUUGUGCAGGCCCAAAGCCCAAGAGCAUCCCACCGUGCAGUCCAGGUAGUAGUGCAGGGAAGGUCGCUGACAUUCCCUCCCCCAUAAGAUUCGGCUUGCCCUCAAGCCGACUCAAUGUUGAGCCACCAGGAUCCCAUGACGCUUGUACAACAAACUGAACACUAUCAAGAAUCAUCUCACCUGGAUCCCAUGUUCGCUGCGGAGGCUGUUGAACAACGAGGCACACCGAAAAAUACCUGUCAGUCCUGGAAUGAAGACACACUUGUACUGCCCAUACACCACUAGUAAUAAUUGCCAAGUUACCAGGGUCCCAAGAAAGCAACACUAACAAGAAAAGACUGUUUCCAGUUUGCAAUGCAUAUCUUCUUGAGCAAACAACAGUUGCAAUUACUGCAAGUCCAUCCAUGCACAAAACAUGUUCUGUUGGCAAAGUCAGGAUCCAUAAGAAGAGCUCCCAAGGAGGCCAUGGCUGGGCCCAAGGUACCACUGAUUUGAGUUGCACAACUGCGUCCAGCAUAAUCACACGGAGAUCACCUCUAGAAGCAUAUUCAGCAGGGCAAUCCUCACACAGCAAAACAGAGGUUUCCCGAGUGAAAAACCAUGCAAUUUUCCACUGAAGAUGUUCAGAACCAGAAGAGACUGAGUUCAGCUUCCUCGCCUCGGGUGAUGCAAAGCCAUGGGGUUUGUCGUCUACAGCUGAACCCACUAAUGAAAAGGGCCAGGCAAUCCUCCAUUGGAUCUGUUCAUGAUCACGAAAGGAAUUAUAGGGACUUCUCAUCUCCAGAUCAGUCAAUAAGCACAACCUAUUAGCUUGAUCAAUAGCUGUCCCAAUAUAAGAAAACCCAUCUUCUUGGUCAGUAGCUCUGAAGAGACAGGAAACCCCACCAUUUUGUCUAAUUAGAGUCAUCAUGCUUGUAAAACUAAGGAGCAGAAACUGAUGGACGGUUUCACCAAAUAUGUGCAAAAACGACUGAUACAUUCCAAUGGCAAAUAGCUCAUGACACAAACUCCUCGUCUCAACAAAAUCUUGGGAGUAAAUUUUAGCACCGGAGCUAAACCGAAGCAAGUAAAAACUGAUAAUAGAGCAAUGCAAGAAUCUGUACAACCUGUAGAUCUUCUCACCAUUUGACUGUGGCCAAAAUGCAACGACUGAAAGGACCUUGAUGAACAGGCAAGCAAUUUCCAAUGUAGAUCGAAGUUGCCUAUGCCACUGACAUUGAUUAGAACCCAAAGAAGACCAAGCAAUCUUCCAUUGAUCCCUCGUGCAGAUGUACUUCAGCUGAGAUACAAUGGUUAGCAGUGCAAGUGCUUCAAAAUUCAGACCCAAUUUUUCACUGACAUCAAGAAAGCACGUGACCCAUGCUACUCCAAGACUUGUUACUAGUUCACUAUGUCUUGGAAAAAUAUUUAGCUUUAAGUUUGUAUAUGAGGAAAUAAGCCCCAUCUCCUCGUAGCUAAUCAUUCCCGUGAUUGAUGGAUGAGAAUACUCCAUGUACAUCACUCUCUUCCGCAGCAGUAUUCUCUGGUCAGAACAAGAUGGAAACUGAGGCCAAGCAUUCCAUAGCUCUAGCAAUACAAUGAGAACAUCUCGAGCACAGAUGAUUGCACUUGAAUCAAUUUCUCGCUGUCCAGGAUCCCACGACAAUGUGAAGAACCCAUAACCUAUAAAAGACUGAGAUACGAUCCUGAUAGUGAGCAAGGCUGUUGAUUAGUCUCUUUCACGGCUGCCAGCAAUUCAUCACCGCUCCUCUGCGAUUCAUUUUUGAACUGGGCUAGCCACACUUCCUGUUGUAAUAGGAGAUACGGGCUGAUGAAGUACUUGAGCCACACCACGCUAGUGUCACCUCCCAAGCAGUUCAACAAGCAUGAGGUCCUCGAUGGAGUGCACUGCACCAACUCCAUGCCCUCAGCAACGAUUUUGUAUGAGGAAUGUUGACUGACCUCAUCUGGAUAUGAACGAAGACCACAUCUCUGCUGAAAAUCAUCCUCGUCUAAAUCCUCCUGGUAUGAAACUAGCUUUGAAGAUACCUUCUCGUCAGUUUUUCCAUCUGAUUGUUCACUAAACUUGCUAGUCCCUGGAUCCCAAGGCAAACCCGAGUUGACAAGUAGAUAAUCUCUGAUCAGAGAAGUAAUACCCAUUUCUUCUGCUUGCCCUUUAGUGAUGUCGAUGCUGCCAUUGAUGGGGAACAAUGCAAACACAACCCAGGGGGUGGCGGUCAUUGCAAGGGUCGACGCAAAGGGAACCGGCACCAACGUAGGCACACUCCAAGGGACCGGGAACGCCACCAUGGGGUUAUCCUUGUUGUUGUCGUGGUUGAGUCCAGGCACAUGAGCGACAUUGUUGACUAUCAUGGAUGAAGGUGGUGUUGUGGACGAGGUGAGCGCCGACUCCUCAGCCGUGGCGCGGCUUGGACAUCCCAUCGAACAGAUGGUGGGCGUCGGAGCAGCGUCGCUGGUGUCGUCCACUUCGAGCCCCUUGUCGCUCACAAUGAACUCCAGGGCGACGCUGUCAGCAGUCACGGAUGGAGUUGGUGGCGUAGGCGCGGCGAGCUCGGACGGAGUGGCGCCGAUGGUGCUCAUGGACGCCUCGACUUGGAGGUCAUCGGUGGAUGUAGCGGGCGCCUCAUCAUGGCGCUCGACCGCGGCCAACGCUGCAGCCCACUCCACGUAGGGAGUGUCGUCGUAGAAGUACGAGGGUGACAUGCCGUCUUCAUCCGGCAUGGUGAUGGUGGUGUAGACCGUCUGGAUGAGGUCGACAGCAAGGAUGCAGCAGCCAUCAUACAUAGCAUGGUCAUCGAGAGCAGCUCGAGCUCGGGCCGCCCUCCAUCGAGACCGGUACUCGACGUACACCUCCACACCGUACAUCCCAUCCACCAUCCGCUCGUAGGCGCAGAUCACAUAUCCAUCACCGGAGCGACGAAACAACUGGCGAAUCGAGUCGACGGUGACCGCUUGGCGAACGUCGCUGAUCCGGGCGUGAAGAACACCCUCGGGGCAGGCGAAUUUGUGGCUGGGCAUUUUGUCGAACAGGUUGCAAGCGGAGGAUGGAGAACAAAAUUUUGGUAGAUUUUUUGAGGAAUUUGGAGGAGGAUCGAACGGCUCUUAUACCAAUUGUUAGGGUCCAGCUACUAGUUUCACUCAAUCACCAUGGUUUGGCUACAAAUCUAGAAUUACAGGAGGAGGAAGCAGAGGAAGGAAGGAGACGGAGGAGGAAGAACACGCUACAGAGAGGGAGUUCGCCAGCCAGGCCGAAGCCUUCCGUCCAAGCCGAGUCACUCGUUGCCAUCUCCACCAUAUUUGUAGUCGCUGCUUUCCAUGGCUUUUGUGCAGGCCCAAAGCCCAAGAGCAGCCCACCGUGCAGUCCAGGUAGUAGUGCAGGGAAGGUCGCUGACAUAUGCAAGGUGAUGUUACUCUGGGCGUCGGUGCAGUUGAUUUGGGCGUGAAUUUCGUCUCCCGCAACCAGCUUUGAUCCAUCUUUAGUAUGAGAUGCUGGAGACGUUUUCUGCCCCUAGAGCGCCAGCCAGAUGCAUCCUCCACAUCUCCAACAUUCUUCGAAGUUCGACUUGCAGGUCCCCAUUUUUUGUUUUCCUCACUGAGUCAUAUAUUUAUUUAUUUUGUAACCAUUUCCUUUGUUUUUGCCAUUGAACCAACAUAAUGUACUUAAGGAAAUGCCUGUUAAGUGAAAUUGUUUCUUCAUUUUUCCUUGAAAUCUUGCAAAAACAUGUGAUUCCUUUUUUAAGGGUUCUAUAAGUGUUGAAUGAGGUGAUAGUAAUUAGUAAGUGAAAUUAGAAAGAAUGUAAGUGUAUGUCUGCGCAUACAUGAUAACUGAAUCGGCGGACUUGAGAGUUCAUCGAAUUCGGCGGCACUUUUGCCGUCAACAUGCAUGUAGGCGAUGUGCUGGCUUCUAUCCUAUGAAGUGUGAGGUUCAUGGCGGCAUUGCUGCCCCCAAGUUCUGACCCGGAUGCGUCAUUGCUGUCCCAAAGUGAUGCAGUCCAAAAAUUUGCCUUCAUCGUUGACAGAGCCACAGAGGCAGCCCGGCAAGGUCAUUGUAUAUUUUCACCUGCAAGUCCUCCUUCCUCUUACCCCGAUUGAACUAAUAUAAUCAAAUAAGGUAGUGCUUUUUAGCGAUUAACGUUUCAGUUUUAUGGUUUUUAUACCAUUAUGUAUACUGGCUGCUCUUGAUUUUUUUUCAAUUGACUUAUGGUAAAGGUACUAAAUGAUGAUAGUAACUUAUGAAUGCCAAAUACAUCUUUCAGCAUAGUGUUAAUUUGUUUACUCCCCAUCCACCUUUUCCGGGCUUGGGACUGACAUUGGCAGUGUUAGCCCCUCUACCUCUAUUAAUAUUUAACAAACUUAAGAAAUAAUGAGGAUAUUUAUGGUUAGCUAUAGUUUCAAUACAAAUUAAGAUUUAAUCACUAAAUAUGAAAAGCGGUUUGAUUCUGUUGUACAUAUAAAACAUAACAAUGUGUCGAUGAAGUCACAUAAUAUAGAUUAUCCAUGUUUGGUAUUAAUGAACUAUUUCCACCAAACGUUGAUGCAUGUUUGCAAUACUUCGGUACGGUAGUAGACCAUAUAUGUCCUGCCAUAUCAUGUUAGCAUAGCUAAGUCUGUUUUUAGUUUCAGGAUUGUUUGCAAUGCAAGGUAAAUCGGUGGCUCUCUGAAUGGUGGCAAAUCAACAUUUCCCUGUUGGCACCAUAGUCCCAAAGGUGGCAUGCUUUUUGCUCUACCUUAAGUUCUUUCUUCGUACCGAAAAAUUCCACCCCAUCAUUCACACUUGUAUCUUGGUUUUUUGAAGUCCCAAGUGUCCAUACCAUUCCUUUCCAAUGUCCUGUCCAAGUUUCUGAAUUUACCAUCAAUUUUAAUAUUAGUAAUGUCUCGUAUUGUUGAUGCUGAAAAAAGUAUUUGGGGGUUUGUUUCUUUCAUGUACACUUUUUGUUACUUUUUGUAAUGUACACGUACAUAACAUGAAUGAAGUACAUGAAUGUCCAGAUUUUAGAUGUUGAUUGUAUUUUAUUGUUGCUUACCUCAUAGUCUCACCAGUCCGGCUGAUUAGUGCUUCUUUUUUGUCGAUUGUUCUGCAACCCUCUUGCUUUGUAUUUUAUUUUCUAUGUAGUCUUGCCUCUUUAGCUUUGUCUGUUGAGUUAAUUGCCCUCCAUAAACAUAAAUACCAAUUAGUAUAAGUAAGAUAUGGAAUUUCCUUCAUAAGCAAUUUAUUACUCGUGGCAGUGGUCAAUGUACAUGAUGAACAUUUUUACAGGAUAUUGUUCCUUAUGGCAAUGGAACAUUUUUUCCCUCAGUAUUGGUUUAGACAGAGUGCAUGGGUAUGUUUUAUCAUGAUUUUCUUGAAAGCAUACUUCAUGGCUAUAGGUAGAACUAAAUGUAACAUGUUUUUGUGAUUUAAUAGAGCAAUUUAAAUUAGCUGCACUUGAAGAUAUGGAAAUGCAUGGGCGACCGGACUUCAUAACCACUUGUUCAUGGUAAAAUGUGUGGUAUAUGAUUUUAGUACAUCAAAUCCUGAGUUAAUGAAGGAAUAUUUUUGUGGUAAAAAAGAUUGGAGGACAAAGAAGAAGAAUUGAUUUGCAAAGCAUAAGCAAGGUACAUAAUUUGCUUCAUGUAUACUAUACUACCAGGUGUGCAUCAUUAGUGGUAAAAUUUAGAACCAAAUGGAUGAUGAUACGCAUAAGGGUAAAACUUUGUGAAGAUUUUCUUACUUCACGUGGAUCAAAGG
This 6001-nucleotide long non-coding RNA is filed under the name Triticum aestivum (bread wheat). RNAcentral describes it as "long non-coding RNA (TAES_LNC027226)". Lineage: Eukaryota; Viridiplantae; Streptophyta; Magnoliopsida; Poales; Poaceae. The record is from RNAcentral.